Molecule: ribosomal RNA, 468 nt
Filed under: uncultured bacterium
Lineage: Bacteria
Description: partial 16S ribosomal RNA
Rfam family: Bacterial small subunit ribosomal RNA
Source: RNAcentral
GACGAACGCUGGCGGCGUGCUUAACACAUGCAAGUCGAACGGAAAGGCCCUGCUUUUGUGGGGUGCUCGAGUGGCGAACGGGUGAGUAACACGUGAGUAACCUGCCCUUGACUUUGGGAUAACUUCAGGAAACUGGGGCUCAUACCGGAUAGGAGCUCCUGCUGCAUGGUGGGGGUUGGAAAGUUUCGGCGGUUGGGUAUGGACUCGCGGCUUAUCAGCUUGUUGGUGGGGUAGUGGCUUACCAAGGCUUUGACGGGUAGCCGGCCUGAGAGGGUGACCGGCCACAUUGGGACUGAGAUACGGCCCAGACUCCUACGGGAGGCAGCAGUGGGGAAUAUUGCACAAUGGGCGGAAGCCUGAUGCAGCAACGCCGCGUGCGGGAUGACGGCCUUCGGGUUGUAAACCGCUUUCGCCUGUGACGAAGCGUGAGUGACGGUAAUGGGUAAAGAAGCACCGGCUAACUACGUG